UACGUAGGCAGCAAGCGUUGUUCGGAGUUACUGGGCGUAAAGGGUGCGUAGGCGGCUUUUUAAGUUUGGUGUGAAAUCUCCCGGCUCAACUGGGAGGGUGCGCCGAAUACUGAGAGGCUAGAGUGCGGGAGAGGAAAGUGGAAUUCCUGGUGUAGCGGUGAAAUCCGUAAAUAUACGAAGGAACGCCAAAAGCGAAGGCAGCUCUCUGGGUCCCUACCGACGCUGGGGGGCGAAAGCAUGGGGAGCGAACAGG
RNAcentral lists this ribosomal RNA (253 nucleotides) under uncultured bacterium. Its description in RNAcentral is "partial 16S ribosomal RNA". It matches the Rfam family "Bacterial small subunit ribosomal RNA", at positions 524 to 776 of the family's 1533-position model. The record is from RNAcentral.